CAUAUACGCACGCAGUUGGCUUUCAUCUUGUUGCAGUUGACAUUGUACGCGUAGCUAUCUAAUAUCAUUCUAGGCCUGUUGAAUUCAAAGUGGAAAACGAUACAAUCAACACAGAUGAGCAGUUUCUUUGCUGCAAGGUCUGUCGUCAACAAAGUCUUUCCAAUCAUCGGGACUAUUCCUCAGAUCAUUGAACGUAUAACUGGCCUAUGAGUGUUUAGUUCAAUGCCAUUAUACGGCACGUGUGAUCAGUCGUACUCAUAGGGUGCCGCGAUACAUUUGUACUGUGACCUGACGUUUGCACGAAUGAAGUUCAAUUGGCACAUAUCAGCGAAACAAGAUGACCUUUUUUGUCGGAAUACAUAGCAAAAGAAGGCAGACAAACUGAAGAAUUGUGUUCUUAACGUACAAGUUCCUGCGCCCCAGCCACAACCUCUGAAUGAUUCUGUUAUUAAUACCACUGGUCAACUUCAACUGCGAUAAUAAAAGAAUUGAGACACUUA
This 500-nucleotide long non-coding RNA is filed under the name Daphnia magna. RNAcentral describes it as "uncharacterized LOC123470398, transcript variant X2". The record is from RNAcentral. Lineage: Eukaryota; Metazoa; Arthropoda; Branchiopoda; Diplostraca; Daphniidae.